Molecule: unclassified non-coding RNA, 196 nt
Filed under: uncultured fungus
Lineage: Eukaryota; Fungi
Description: sequence contains ITS1, 5.8S rRNA gene
Source: RNAcentral
UUUCCAUAGGUGAACCUAUGGAAGGAUCAUUACUACUUGCUCACAGCGUCCCUCUAGGAAACCAGAGGGGCGUUAGGCAUGCCACCCUUGUCUAUUUAUACUAUUUGUUACUUCCCUCAGCGGGGCAACCCGCCGCUAGGGACAAACCGAACCCUUUUGUAUUAAGCAUCAAAAUCUAAAACAAACAAAAUAAUCA